UUUGACAUGGGCGAAGCCUGACCGCCUGCCGCGUGAGUGAUGAAGGCCCUAGGGUUGUAAAGCUCUUUUGUGCGGGAAGAUAAUGACGGUACCGCAAGAAUAAGCCCCGGCUAACUUCGUGCCAGCAGCCGCGGUAAUACGAAGGGGGCUAGCGUUGCUCGGAAUCACUGGGCGUAAAGGGUGCGUAGGCGGGUCUUUAAGUCAGAGGUGAAAUCCUGGAGCUCAACUCCAGAACUGCCUUUGAUACUGAGGAUCUUGAGUUCGGGAGAGGUGAGUGGAACUGCGAGUGUAGAGGUGAAAUUCGUAGAUAUUCGCAAGAACGGGGGGGGCGAAGGCGGCUCACUGGCCCGAUACUGACGCUGAGGCACGAAAG
Molecule: ribosomal RNA, 373 nt
Filed under: uncultured bacterium
Lineage: Bacteria
Description: bacterial SSU rRNA
Rfam family: Bacterial small subunit ribosomal RNA
Source: RNAcentral